This 253-nucleotide ribosomal RNA is filed under the name uncultured bacterium. Its description in RNAcentral is "partial 16S ribosomal RNA". It matches the Rfam family "Bacterial small subunit ribosomal RNA", at positions 524 to 776 of the family's 1533-position model. The record is from RNAcentral.
UACGAAGGGGGCUAGCGUUGCUCGGAAUCACUGGGCGUAAAGCGCACGUAGGCGGGUCGUUAAGUCGGGGGUGAAAUCCUGGAGCUCAACUCCAGAACUGCCUUCGAUACUGGCGAUCUUGAGUCUGGGAGAGGUGAGUGGAACUCCGAGUGUAGAGGUGAAAUUCGUAGAUAUUAGCUAGAACACCAGUGGCGAAGGCGGCCAACUGGUCCGGUACUGACGCUGAGGUGCGAAAGCGUGGGGAGCAAACAGG